GGCGGUUCUCAGGUGAUGCACCCCGGAAUCGGGCUCCCUCCUCUGGUUCCGGGUACGUCACCUGAGAACCGCA
This is a non-coding RNA of Myotis lucifugus (little brown bat), 73 nucleotides long. NCBI's taxonomy places the organism in Eukaryota, Metazoa, Chordata, Mammalia, Chiroptera, Vespertilionidae. The record is from Rfam.